This 69-nucleotide transfer RNA is filed under the name Nocardia asteroides. RNAcentral's name for it is "tRNA-OTHER". The record is from RNAcentral. Lineage: Bacteria; Bacillati; Actinomycetota; Actinomycetes; Mycobacteriales; Nocardiaceae. RNAcentral also lists the same sequence under 1 other name.
CCGGUGCGCAGGCAACGGCUACUUCCACUUCUAAUGGACAGGUUGCGGGUUCGAGUCCCGCCCGGACCA